RNAcentral lists this ribosomal RNA (53 nucleotides) under Fusarium solani. Its description in RNAcentral is "partial 28S ribosomal RNA". Lineage: Eukaryota; Fungi; Ascomycota; Sordariomycetes; Hypocreales; Nectriaceae. The record is from RNAcentral.
UUCUGAAUGUUGACCUCGAAUCAGGUAGGAAUACCCGCUGAACUUAAGCAUAU